GACGAACGCUGGCGGCGUGCCUAAUACAUGCAAGUAGAACGCUGAAGCGAGGAGCUUACUCUUCUUGGAUGAGUUGCGAACGGGUGAGUAACGCGUAGGUAACCUGCCUUGUAGCGGGGGAUAACUAUUGGAAACGAUAGCUAAUACCGCAUAACAAUGGAUGACACAUGUCAUUUAUUUGAAAGGGGCAAUUGCUCCACUACAAGAUGGACCUGCGUUGUAUUAGCUAGUAGGUGAGGUAAUGGCUCACCUAGGCGACGAUACAUAGCCGACCUGAGAGGGUGAUCGGCCACACUGGGACGGAGACACGGCCCAGACUCCUACGGGAGGCAGCAGUAGGGAAUCUUCGGCAAUGGGGGCAACCCUGACCGAGCAACGCCGCGUGAGUGAAGAAGGUUUUCGGAUCGUAAAGCUCUGUUGUAAGUCAAGAACGGGUGUGAGAGUGGAAAGUUCACACUGUGACGGUAGCUUACCAGAAAGGGACGGCUAACUACGUG
This 497-nucleotide ribosomal RNA is filed under the name uncultured bacterium. RNAcentral describes it as "partial 16S ribosomal RNA". It matches the Rfam family "Bacterial small subunit ribosomal RNA", at positions 28 to 507 of the family's 1533-position model. The record is from RNAcentral.